CCUAACGAUGAUAUCAUAGAAGCAAAAGGUGGAGGCGAGGGAAGCUUACAGCAUCUGGCUUGAUCGUAGGCCGAAGAAAACCCGCGCAGCUUACCUAACGCCAGGUCGCCAUCUUUGAUCGCCUAACGAUGAUAUCCCAGAAGCCAAAGGUGGAGCUAAGGGAAGCUUACAGCAUCCGGCUUGAUCGUAGUGUACAAAGAAAACCUGCACAGCUUACCUAACGCCAGGUUUAAUGAUUUUACCCUAGUUUUAUUUGAUUCAUUGUCCAUUAAUGUCAUGAGUUCAGAACUACAUACAUGAGUUUGUGAUGAUAUUUUUCAUAUAUAGGCUCUUUUUUUAUAUGUGAAAUGCAUAUGCAAUAUUUGAUUUUAAUUAGGUACACAUUGUUUACUAGAUAAAGAUUUUUCAUGGUCUUAUCAGUGCUACUAAAUAUUUUUUUUAAUGUAUUAGCAUGACUAAUCUUAUCUGGUCUUUAGUUUGUACAUAAUUAGUUUGAGAUUUGCAACUGUUAUUGAUCUGAUUAUCAUAUGCUUGGCUAAUUGCUUGCUU
Molecule: long non-coding RNA, 549 nt
Organism: Dendrobium catenatum
Lineage: Eukaryota; Viridiplantae; Streptophyta; Magnoliopsida; Asparagales; Orchidaceae
Exons: 2
Source: RefSeq, a predicted model, not a curated record